GGGAAUCUCUCUCCGUCUCCCUGCGCAAACGCGGUAUCUCCCGAAACAGUCCCAGCCCCUCUCCGACACGCUCGAGAGUGGCCAAGGCCCAAAGCAGCCAAUCGUAGUCAUCAGCAAGUGAGCGUGGUGGUGGCUGGCAAGACAACUCACCGCAGUUACCACCAAACUCAAUGGAUUCCCCCUCCCUCCGACGAGGAUAGUCAACAGUUAAGUCCCUUCCCUCUCAGUUCUUCCUCAUCUCCUACCAAACCUUCAAAAGGUCUUUGGUGGAAUGUACGCUAAUUUCUGGCGAGCUUUACCUGCAACUCUGAGACUCGGGAUUGAACGGCAUCCCUUUAAUGUGUUUGACCUACUCAGUGAAUGACUUAAGUGGGGCGGUCAUCGGAGGGCUUUAACGAGAGGGCGAAACCCAAAGUAGGCAAGAUUAGUGUGAGGUCGCAAGGGACUGCUGGUGCUAGAACCUGGGGCAACGCAGCAAACCCUGGACGACUGACCUGCUGAGUUCCGCCAAUGUUUUGUAAGAUUUGAUGGCUGGGGUUUAAGGUGAAGAGCUCAAGGAAUUGAUGAGAUAGCUGAAAACUUGCUCACUGUGUCAUGGGUGAAAAAAUGAUAUUAUAAUUACAGAGACUACGCCUGAUCUUCAAUUCAGCAAGCUACUUUUUUUUUAUUUCGGUGCCGUUGAAUCUCCUAAGAAUGAACACCAUCUUGCUGAUGUCCAUAUCAGGUGAUAAAUCACAAGUAAAAUAGAUUCUGCAGGUGUUGGAAGCACACAUAAUUCUGAAGGAACCCAGCAGGUCGGGCAACAUCUGUGGAGAGGAAUGAACAGUCAAGGUUUUGAGCCAAGACCUGCCAUCUGGACUGGAAAGCAGUGUAUGAUCUGCUUCCAUGUCCAUCAAACCUACACACAUGGGGCAAGGCAGAUUCAUCUGCGUGCCCACUGUGCUCCAAGUGAGGAACCCUGCAGCACAUCCUCAGCGACUGCGGAAGGGACGGUACCGAUGGAGGAAUGAUCAGGUCCUGAAGACCAUCGCUGAAGCCAUCAGUGCAGGAGUUGAGUGGGCGAAGCGGUCCUGACCCUCCAAGCAGACCAUUGCCUUUGUCAGAGCUGGGGAGCAGCCAAUACCCACCAAAAUAACAUCUGCAGGCAUCCUGUCCUCUGCAAGUGACUGGCAGCUGUGGCUGGACCUCAAACGGCAGCUGAAGUUUCCCAACCAUAUCGCAGCCACCAACCUGUGACCAGACAUUGUCCUUGUGUCUGAGUCUACUAAGCAAGUAGUGCUGCUGGAGCUGACAGUCCCAUGGGAAGAUAGCUUGGAAGAGGCCUUUGAAAGGAAGCUCUCCAAGUACGCAGGACUGGUCAGCAACUGUCAGCAGGUUGGAUGGAGAGCGAGGUGUCUCCCAAUCUCCACAGGAUUCGCAGCCCUUUCCUUAGCUAGAGCCUUCAGCAAUUUGGGUAUCGAGGGAGAGAGGAAGAGGAGAGCCAUUUGAUGCAGCAGAGAGGGCCUCAAGAUGGCAGUGGCUCAAAAGAGGGAAACUAUGGAGUCGUAAGUAGCUAGCCACCUGGACAAAAGCUGGGGUCUGAUCAGCCCCGGCUGGGUCAAUUGGAGGAGCGUGUAUGAUGUUGAAAGACCCUAAACACCCGAUGAUUCCAGGAA
Mobula hypostoma (lesser devil ray) is the source of this 1655-nucleotide long non-coding RNA. RefSeq lists it as uncharacterized. Lineage: Eukaryota; Metazoa; Chordata; Chondrichthyes; Myliobatiformes; Myliobatidae. The transcript is spliced from 3 exons. The record is from RefSeq and is a predicted model, not a curated record.